UAUUUUAUUAGUAUAAAAAGUACAUCUAAUUUCCAAUUAGAGAGUUUUUCCAAAAUAAAAUAA
Molecule: transfer RNA, 63 nt
Filed under: Ornithodoros phacochoerus
Lineage: Eukaryota; Metazoa; Arthropoda; Arachnida; Ixodida; Argasidae
Description: Ornithodoros sp. 3 BJM-2014 tRNA-Gly
Source: RNAcentral